This 253-nucleotide ribosomal RNA is filed under the name uncultured bacterium. Its description in RNAcentral is "partial 16S ribosomal RNA". It matches the Rfam family "Bacterial small subunit ribosomal RNA", at positions 524 to 776 of the family's 1533-position model. RNAcentral also lists the same sequence under 2 other names. The record is from RNAcentral.
UACGAACCGUCCAAACGUUAUUCGGAAUCACUGGGCUUACAGAGUUCGUAGGCGGUGGAGAAAGUAGGGUGUGAAAGCCCUCGGCCUAACCGAGGAAUUGCGCCCUAAACUACUUCGCUGGAGGAGGAUAGAGGUGAGCAGAACUGAUGGUGGAGCGGUGAAAUGCGUUGAUAUCAUCAGGAAUACCGGAGGCGAAGGCGGCUCACUGGGUCCUUUCUGACGCUGAGGAACGAAAGCUAGGGGAGCGAACGGG